Molecule: long non-coding RNA, 152 nt
Organism: Hibiscus syriacus
Lineage: Eukaryota; Viridiplantae; Streptophyta; Magnoliopsida; Malvales; Malvaceae
Exons: 3
Source: RefSeq, a predicted model, not a curated record
AUGUUAUAAAAGGCGUGAAGAAAAAAGAUGGCAAUUGGCAAUGAUAUUGUUGAAGCUGUUGGUUGGCUUUAUGUAGCAUGAACAAACUGUGGUUGAGACCAAGAAAACAACAAGGAAAGCCGAUAGUUUUUCAUUAAAAAAAGGGAAAACUU